RNAcentral lists this small RNA (429 nucleotides) under Arabidopsis thaliana (thale cress). RNAcentral's name for it is "ATSL196480". The record is from RNAcentral. Lineage: Eukaryota; Viridiplantae; Streptophyta; Magnoliopsida; Brassicales; Brassicaceae.
UCAAUAAUUUUUUUAAUAUUAUUUGAUGUAAUGAUGAUUUUGCAUUAAUUGUGACAAUAGUCACAUCUAAACUUUUUUGGGGCAUUAAAUGUUGAUGUCACUUCGGAAUAAUGAAAAUAAUCUCACUUGUAACGGAACCGAAUCGCGUCAACGUGAAACAAAAAAUCUUCAACUGAAUCGGAACAGUGUACGUAACUAAACCUGCUAAACUAAACCGUACAUUUCAACAGUUACUAAGAGAGAAGCGCAAGGGCAGAAACGUCAUUUUGCAGGCGAAAAGACAAAUGGUGAAAACCACAUUUGACUUUAACAAUCCAUGGAAAUAAAACAUGGUCAACGGGUGUGGCCUGCAAUUUACCCUUAUAUAAACACUAAUAUAUAUAUCUAGGCUAGUACAGUUUUUCCUCUACGACAUUUACAAAUCUUUUU